UCCUGACCGUGCGAAGGUAGCGUAAUCACUUGUCUUUUAAAUGAAGACCUGUAUGAAUGGCAUAACGAGGGUUUAACUGUCUCCUUCCCCCAGUCAAUGAAAUUGAUCUGCCCGUGCAGAAGCGGACAUAAAAACAUAAGACGAGAAGACCCUAUGGAGCUUUAGGCCAAGGACCAAUCAUGUUAAGAGACUACAAAACCAAAAAGAACAAAAAAGUCAACAAACCAAAUGCAACCUCGUCCAAGUGCCUUCGGUUGGGGCGACCACGGGGAAAAAAGAAACCCCCACAUGGAAUGGAAAUUAUUUCCUUAAACCAAGAAAAACAAUUCUAAGCAACAGAACAUCUGACCAAUAUAUGACCCAGGAAAACACAUCCUGAUCAAUGAACCAAGUUACCCUAGGGAUAACAGCGCAAUCCUUUCCCAGAGCCCAUAUCGACGAAAGGGUUUACGACCUCGAUGUUGGAUCAGGACAUCCUAAUGGUGCAGCCGCUA
RNAcentral lists this ribosomal RNA (494 nucleotides) under Gnathophis heterognathos. Its description in RNAcentral is "partial 16S ribosomal RNA". It matches the Rfam family "Bacterial large subunit ribosomal RNA", at positions 1940 to 2564 of the family's 2925-position model. The record is from RNAcentral. Lineage: Eukaryota; Metazoa; Chordata; Actinopteri; Anguilliformes; Congridae.